RNAcentral lists this ribosomal RNA (375 nucleotides) under uncultured eukaryote. Its description in RNAcentral is "partial 18S ribosomal RNA". It matches the Rfam family "Eukaryotic small subunit ribosomal RNA", at positions 592 to 976 of the family's 1831-position model. The record is from RNAcentral.
CAGUAGCGUCUAUUAAAGUUGUUGCAGUUAAAAAGCUCGUAGUUGGAUUUCGGUUAAGAGCGACCGGUCCGCCGUUUGGUGUGCACUGGUUGGUUUUAACUUCCUGUAGAGGACGUGCUCUGGGUUUAACGACCUGGACUCGGAGUCUACGUGGUUACUUUGAAAAAAUUAGAGUGUUCAAAGCGGGCUUACGCUUGAAUAUUUCAGCAUGGAAUAACACUAUAGGACUCCUGUCCUAUUUCGUUGGUCUCGGGACGGGAGUAAUGAUUAAGAGGAACAGUUGGGGGCAUUCGUAUUUCAUUGUCAGAGGUGAAAUUCUUGGAUUUAUGAAAGACGAACUUCUGCGAAAGCAUUUGCCAAGGAUGUUUUCAUUAA